This 430-nucleotide ribosomal RNA is filed under the name uncultured bacterium. RNAcentral's name for it is "partial 16S ribosomal RNA". It matches the Rfam family "Bacterial small subunit ribosomal RNA", at positions 354 to 796 of the family's 1533-position model. The record is from RNAcentral.
GUGGGGAAUUUUGGACAAUGGGCGCAAGCCUGAUCCAGCAACGCCGCGUGAGGGAUGACGGCCUUCGGGUUGUAAACCUCUUUCAGCAGGGACGAAGCGAAAGUGACGGUACCUGCAGAAGAAGGACCGGCCAACUACGUGCCAGCAGCCGCGGUAAUACGUAGGGUCCGAGCGUUGUCCGGAAUUAUUGGGCGUAAAGGGCUCGUAGGCGGUCUGUCGCGUCGGGAGUGAAAACUCAGGGCUCAACCCUGAGCGUGCUUCCGAUACGGGCAGACUAGAGGUAUGCAGGGGAGAACGGAAUUCCUGGUGUAGCGGUGGAAUGCGCAGAUAUCAGGAGGAACACCGGUGGCGAAGGCGGUUCUCUGGGCAUUACCUGACGAUGAGGAGCGAAAGCAUGGGGAGCGAACAGGAUUAGAAACCCGGGUAGUCC